RNAcentral lists this ribosomal RNA (399 nucleotides) under uncultured Sphingobacteriales bacterium. Its description in RNAcentral is "bacterial SSU rRNA". It matches the Rfam family "Bacterial small subunit ribosomal RNA", at positions 981 to 1382 of the family's 1533-position model. Lineage: Bacteria; Pseudomonadati; Bacteroidota; Sphingobacteriia; Sphingobacteriales. The record is from RNAcentral.
UCGAACGUAAGAUGACUGUAGGUGAAAGCUUACAUCUCUCGGAGCAUUUUACGAGGUGCUGCAUGGUUGUCGUCAGCUCGUGCCGUGAGGUGUCGGGUUAAGUCCCAUAACGAGCGCAACCCUACCUUUAGUUGCCAUCAGGUAAUGCUGGGGACUCUAAAGGAACUGCCUACGCAAGUAGUGAGGAAGGCGGGGAUGACGUCAAAUCAGCACGGCCCUUACGUCCAGGGCUACACACGUGCUACAAUGGCCGAUACAGAGGGCAGCUACCUGGUGACAGGAUGCAAAUCUCCAAAGUCGGUCUCAGUUCGGAUCGGAGUCUGCAACCCGACUCCGUGAAGUUGGAUUCGCUAGUAAUCGCGCAUCAGCCAUGGCGCGGUGAAUACGUUCCCGGGCCUU